GUCUUUUUGGUAUAUUAAUAUAAAGUCUGACCUGCCCACUGAUAAAUUCAUUAAAGGGCCGCAGUAUUUUGACUGUGCAAAGGUAGCAUAAUCAUUAGUCUUUUAAUUGGAGGCUGGUAUGAAUGGUUGGAUGAGAUACAUGCUGUGUCAUAUAAAAUUAAUAAUUGAAUUUAACCUUUUAGUCAAAAGGCUAAAAUAUUAUUAAAAGACGAGAAGACCCUAUAGAGCUUUAUAUAAAAAAUAUUUAACUUAUUUAGAUUUUUCAUAUUUAAUUAUUAUUUUAUAUUUUGUUGGGGUGACAAUAAAAUUUAUAAAACUUUUAUUUUUUAUUUACAUUAAUUUAUGACUAAAUGAUCCAGUUUUAUUGAUUAUAAAAUUAAGUUACCUUAGGGAUAACAGCGUAAUUUUUUUUGAGAGUUCUUAUCGACAAAAAAGAUUGCGACCUCGAUGUUGGAUUAAGAGUAAUUUUGGGUGUAGAAGUUCAAAUUUUAAGUCUGUUCGACUUUUAAAUUCUUACAU
This 519-nucleotide ribosomal RNA is filed under the name Prosimulium kiotoense. Its description in RNAcentral is "partial 16S ribosomal RNA". It matches the Rfam family "Bacterial large subunit ribosomal RNA", at positions 1819 to 2601 of the family's 2925-position model. The record is from RNAcentral. Lineage: Eukaryota; Metazoa; Arthropoda; Insecta; Diptera; Simuliidae.